Molecule: ribosomal RNA, 495 nt
Filed under: uncultured bacterium
Lineage: Bacteria
Description: partial 16S ribosomal RNA
Rfam family: Bacterial small subunit ribosomal RNA
Source: RNAcentral
GACGAACGCUGGCGGCGUGCCUAAUACAUGCAAGUAGAACGCUGAAGGAGGAGCUUGCUCUUCUGGAUGAGUUGCGAACGGGUGAGUAACGCGUAGGUAACCUGCCUGGUAGCGGGGGAUAACUAUUGGAAACGAUAGCUAAUACCGCAUAACAGUAGAUGUUGCAUGACAUUUGCUUAAAAGGUGCAAUUGCACCACUACCAGAUGGACCUGCGUUGUAUUAGCUAGUUGGUGGGGUAACGGCUCACCAAGGCGACGAUACAUAGCCGACCUGAGAGGGUGAUCGGCCACACUGGGACUGAGACACGGCCCAGACUCCUACGGGAGGCAGCUGUAGGGAAUCUUCGGCAAUGGACGGAAGUCUGACCGAGCAACGCCGCGUGAGUGAAGAAGGUUUUCGGAUCGUAAAGCUCUGUUGUAAGAGAAGAACGAGUGUGAGAGUGGAAAGUUCACACUGUGACGGUAUCUUACCAGAAAGGGACGGCUAACUACGUG